GAUGAACGCUGGCGGCGUGCCUAAUACAUGCAAGUCGAGCGAACAGACGAGGAGCUUGCUCCUCUGACGUUAGCGGCGGACGGGUGAGUAACACGUGGAUAACCUACCUAUAAGACUGGGAUAACUUCGGGAAACCGGAGCUAAUACCGGAUAAUAUAUUGAACCGCAUGGUUCAAUAGUGAAAGACGGUUUUGCUGUCACUUAUAGAUGGAUCCGCGCCGCAUUAGCUAGUUGGUAAGGUAACGGCUUACCAAGGCAACGAUGCGUAGCCGACCUGAGAGGGUGAUCGGCCACACUGGAACUGAGACACGGUCCAGACUCCUACGGGAGGCAGCAGUAGGGAAUCUUCCGCAAUGGGCGAAAGCCUGACGGAGCAACGCCGCGUGAGAGAUGAAGGUCUUCGGAUCGUAAAACUCUGUUAUUAGGGAAGAACAAAUGUGUAAGUAACUAUGCACGUCUUGACGGUACCUAAUCAGAAAGCCACGGCUAACUACGUG
Molecule: ribosomal RNA, 497 nt
Filed under: uncultured bacterium
Lineage: Bacteria
Description: partial 16S ribosomal RNA
Rfam family: Bacterial small subunit ribosomal RNA
Source: RNAcentral